ACCUACGGGGGGCAGCAGUAGGGAAUCUUCCACAAUGGGCGCAAGCCUGAUGGAGCAACACCGCGUGAGUGAAGAAAGGUUUCGGCUCGUAAAGCUCUGUUGUUGGAGAAGAACGUGCGUGAGAGCAACUGUUCACGCAGUGACGGUAUCCAACCAGAAAGUCACGGCUAACUACGUGCCAGCAGCCGCGGUAAUACGUAGGUGGCAAGCGUUAUCCGGAUUUAUUGGGCGUAAAGCGAGCGCAGGCGGUCGCUUAGGGCUGAUGUGAAAGGCUUCGGCUUAAACGAAGAAGUG
Molecule: ribosomal RNA, 294 nt
Filed under: uncultured bacterium
Lineage: Bacteria
Description: partial 16S ribosomal RNA
Rfam family: Bacterial small subunit ribosomal RNA
Source: RNAcentral